CCAGGUAUAGCGAAGUUGGUAUCGCGCCGCAUUAGGGAUGCGGAGAUCGUGUGUUCGAGCCGCACUACUUGGACCA
RNAcentral lists this transfer RNA (76 nucleotides) under Caudoviricetes sp. RNAcentral's name for it is "tRNA-Pro". It matches the Rfam family "tRNA". From Rfam's summary of the family: Transfer RNA (tRNA) molecules are approximately 80 nucleotides in length. Their secondary structure includes four short double-helical elements and three loops (D, anti-codon, and T loops). Further hydrogen bonds mediate the characteristic L-shaped molecular structure. tRNAs have two regions of fundamental functional importance: the anti-codon, which is responsible for specific mRNA codon recognition, and the 3' end, to which the tRNAs corresponding amino acid is attached (by aminoacyl-tRNA synthetases). tRNAs cope with the degeneracy of the genetic code in two manners: having more than one tRNA (with a specific anti-codon) for a particular amino acid; and 'wobble' base-pairing, i.e. permitting non-standard base-pairing at the 3rd anti-codon position. Lineage: Duplodnaviria; Heunggongvirae; Uroviricota; Caudoviricetes. The record is from RNAcentral.